GGUUAAGCGACUAAGCGUACACGGUGGAUGCCCCCGGCAGUCAGAGGCGAUGAAGGACGUGCUAAUCUGCGAAAAGCGUCGGUAAGGUGAUAUGAACCGUUACAGCCGGCGAUGUCCGAAUGGGGAAACCCAGUGCAAUUCGUUGCACUAUCGUUAACUGAAUACAUAGGUUAACGAGGCGAACCGGGGGAACUGAAACAUCUAAGUACCCCGAGGAAAAGAAAUCAACCGAGAUUCCCCCAGUAGCGGCGAGCGAACGGGGAGCAGCCCAGAGUCUGAAUCAGCUUGUGUGUUAGUGGAACGGUCUGGAAAGUCCGACGGUACAGGGUGAUAGUCCCGUACACCAAAAUGCACAGGUUGUGAACUCGAAGAGUAGGGCGGGACACGUGGUAUCCUGUCUGAAUAUGGGGGGACCAUCCUCCAAGGCUAAAUACUCCUGACUGACCGAUAGUGAACCAGUACCGUGAGGGAAAGGCGAAAAGAACCCCGGCGAGGGGAGUGAAAAAGAACCUGAAACCGUGUACGUACAAGCAGUGGGAGCACCUUCGGGUGUGACUGCGUACCUUUGUAUAAUGGGUCAGCGACUUAUAUUCUGUAGCAAGGUUAACCGUAUAGGGGAGCCGCAGGGAAACCGAGUCUUAACUGGGCGUUAAGUUGCAGGGUAUAGACCCGAAACCCGGUGAUCUAGCCAUGGGCAGGUUGAAGGUUGGGUAACACUAACUGGAGGACCGAACCGACUAAUGUUGAAAAAUUAGCGGAUGACUUGUGGCUGGGGGUGAAAGGCCAAUCAAACCGGGAGAUAGCUGGUUCUCCCCGAAAGCUAUUUAGGUAGCGCCUCGUGAACUCAUCUUCGGGGGUAGAGCACUGUUUCGGCUAGGGGGUCAUCCCGACUUACCAACCCGAUGCAAACUACGAAUACCGAAGAAUGUUAUCACGGGAGACACACGGCGGGUGCUAACGUCCGUCGUGAAGAGGGAAACAACCCAGACCGCCAGCUAAGGUCCCAAAGUCAUGGUUAAGUGGGAAACGAUGUGGGAAGGCACAGACAGCCGGGAUGUUGGCUUAGAAGCAGCCAUCAUUUAAAGAAAGCGUAAUAGCUCACUGGUCGAGUCGGCCUGCGCGGAAGAUGUAACGGGGCUAAACCAUGCACCGAAGCUGCGGCAGCGACACUAUGUGUUGUUGGGUAGGGGAGCGUUCUGUAAGCCUGCGAAGGUGUGCUGUGAGGCAUGCUGGAGGUAUCAGAAGUGCGAAUGCUGACAUAAGUAACGAUAAAGCGGGUGAAAAGCCCGCUCGCCGGAAGACCAAGGGUUCCUGUCCAACGUUAAUCGGGGCAGGGUGAGUCGACCCCUAAGGCGAGGCCGAAAGGCGUAGUCGAUGGGAAACAGGUUAAUAUUCCUGUACUUGGUGUUACUGCGAAGGGGGGGACGGAGAAGGCUAUGUUAGCCGGGCGACGGUUGUCCCGGUUUAAGCAUGUAGGCUGAUUGUCCGAGGCAAAUCCGGAUAAUCAAGGCUGAGGUGUGAUGACGAGGCACUACGGUGCUGAAGUAACAAAUGCCCUGCUUCCGAGGAAAAGCCUCUAAGCAUCAGGUAACAUUAAAUCGUACCCCAAACCGACACAGGUGGUCAGGUAGAGAAUACCAAGGCGCUUGAGAGAACUCGGGUGAAGGAACUAGGCAAAAUGGUGCCGUAACUUCGGGAGAAGGCACGCUGGUGUGUAGGUGAAGUCCCUGCGGAUGGAGCUGAGACCAGUCGAAGAUACCAGCUGGCUGCAACUGUUUAUUAAAAACACAGCACUGUGCAAACACGAAAGUGGACGUAUACGGUGUGACGCCUGCCCGGUGCCGGAAGGUUAAUUGAUGGGGUUAUCCGUAAGGAGAAGCUCUUGAUCGAAGCCCCGGUAAACGGCGGCCGUAACUAUAACGGUCCUAAGGUAGCGAAAUUCCUUGUCGGGUAAGUUCCGACCUGCACGAAUGGCGUAAUGAUGGCCGGGCUGUCUCCACCCGAGACUCAGUGAAAUUGAACUCGCUGUGAAGAUGCAGUGUACCCGCGGCAAGACGGAAAGACCCCGUGAACCUUUACUAUAGCUUGACACUGAACAUUGAGCCUUGAUGUGUAGGAUAGGUGGGAGGCUUUGAAGCGUGGACGCCAGUCUGCGUGGAGCCAACCUUGAAAUACCACCCUUUAAUGUUUGAUGUUCUAACGUUGGCCCCUGACCGGGGUUGCGGACAGUGUCUGGUGGGUAGUUUGACUGGGGCGGUCUCCUCCCAAAGCGUAACGGAGGAGCACGAAGGUUAGCUAAUCCCCGGUCGGACAUCAGGAGGUUAGUGCAAUGGCAUAAGCUAGCUUGACUGCGAGCGUGACGGCGCGAGCAGGUGCGAAAAGCAGGUCAUAGUGAUCCGGUGGUUCUGAAUGGAAGGGCCAUCGCUCAACGGAUAAAAGGUACUCCGGGGAUAACAGGCUGAUACCGCCCAAGAGUUCAUAUCGACGGCGGUGUUUGGCACCUCGAUGUCGGCUCAUCACAUCCUCGGGGCUGAAGUAGGUCCCAAGGGUAUGGCUGUUCGCCAUUUAAAGUGGUACGCGAGCUGGGUUUAGAACGUCGUGAGACAGUUCGGUCCCUAUCUGCCGUGGGCGCUGGAGAAUUGAGGGGGGCUGCUCCUAGUACGAGAGGACCGGAGUGGACGCAUCACUGGUGUUCGGGUUGUCAUGCCAAUGGCACUGCCCGGUAGCUAAAUGCGGAAGAGAUAAGUGCUGAAAGCAUCUAAGCACGAAACUUGCCCCGAGAUGAGUUCUCCCUGAGACUUUAAGUCUCCUGAAGGAACGUUAAAGACGAUGACGUUGAUAGGCCGGGUGUGUAAGCGCAGCGAUGCGUUGAGCUAACCGGUACUAAUGAACCGUGAGGCUUAACCUU
This 2908-nucleotide ribosomal RNA is filed under the name Klebsiella pneumoniae. Its description in RNAcentral is "23S ribosomal RNA". It matches the Rfam family "Bacterial large subunit ribosomal RNA". Lineage: Bacteria; Pseudomonadati; Pseudomonadota; Gammaproteobacteria; Enterobacterales; Enterobacteriaceae. The record is from RNAcentral.